CCAAACUGUUGCCUCGGCGGGAUCUCUGCCCCGGGUGCGUCGCAGCCCCGGACCAAGGCGCCCGCCGGAGGACCAACCAAAACUCUUUUUGUAUACCCCCUCGCGGGUUUUUUAUAAUCUGAGCCUUCUCGGCGCCUCUCGUAGGCGUUUCGAAAAUGAAUCAAAACUUUCAACAACGGAUCUCUUGGUUCUGGCAUCGAUGAAGAACGCAGCGAAAUGCGAUAAGUAAUGUGAAUUGCAGAAUUCAGUGAAUCAUCGAAUCUUUGAACGCACAUUGCGCCCGCCAGUAUUCUGGCGGGCAUGCCUGUCCGAGCGUCAUUUCAACCCUCGAACCCCUCCGGGGGGUCGGCGUUGGGGAUCGGCCCUGCCUCUUGGCGGUGGCCGUCUCCGAAAUACAGUGGCGGUCUCGCCGCAGCCUCUCCUGCGCAGUAGUUUGCACACUCGCAUCGGGAGCGCGGCGCGUCCACAGCCGUUAAACACCCAACUUCUGAAAUGUUGACCUCGGAUCAGGUAGGAAUACCCGCUGAACUUAAGCAUAUCAAUAAGCGGGAGGAA
Molecule: ribosomal RNA, 555 nt
Filed under: Trichoderma harzianum
Lineage: Eukaryota; Fungi; Ascomycota; Sordariomycetes; Hypocreales; Hypocreaceae
Description: eukaryotic LSU rRNA
Rfam family: 5.8S ribosomal RNA (bases 165-318)
Source: RNAcentral